RNAcentral lists this long non-coding RNA (298 nucleotides) under Elaeis guineensis (African oil palm). RNAcentral describes it as "long non-coding RNA (EGUI_LNC077813)". The record is from RNAcentral. Lineage: Eukaryota; Viridiplantae; Streptophyta; Magnoliopsida; Arecales; Arecaceae.
UUUCAUAUAUAAGUGACAGGAUAACAUGUGGACAACCAUGGAAUAGCUAAAACAAUUAGUUGAGUGUUAGUUUAGAUAUACUUGGAGGUCCUUCAGCAUCAUACUCCUGCAUGUAGUCAGACAGCUCCUCAUUUUAGUCUAAUUAGACAUAGGAGCAAUUUGAGAACAUGCUUAACAAAUGGAUGGAGUAGCGCUUGUAGGCAGAGACUGUUAAGAUAAAGGCACGAGUUAUAGGCCAGCAACUCAGAUGAUAGCCUAGAUUCUUCGCUUGUUUCAAACUUGGAAAUGUUCAAGGGGC